This 491-nucleotide ribosomal RNA is filed under the name uncultured bacterium. RNAcentral's name for it is "partial 16S ribosomal RNA". It matches the Rfam family "Bacterial small subunit ribosomal RNA", at positions 29 to 507 of the family's 1533-position model. The record is from RNAcentral.
UUGAACGCUGGCGGCAUGCUUUACACAUGCAAGUCGAACGGUAACAGGCCUUCGGGUGCUGACGAGUGGCGAACGGGUGAGUAAUGCAUCGGAACGUACCCAGAGGUGGGGGAUAACGCAGCGAAAGCUGUGCUAAUACCGCAUGUGAUCUGAGGAUGAAAGCGGGGGACCGAGCAGCAAUGUUUGGCCUCGCGCCUUUGGAGCGGCCGAUGUCGGAUUAGCUAGUUGGUGGGGUAAAGGCCUACCAAGGCGACGAUCCGUAGCUGGUCUGAGAGGACGACCAGCCACACUGGGACUGAGACACGGCCCAGACUCCUACGGGAGGCAGCAGUGGGGAAUUUUGGACAAUGGGCGCAAGCCUGAUCCAGCAAUGCCGCGUGCGGGAAGAAGGCCUUCGGGUUGUAAACCGCUUUUGACAGGAACGAAACGGUGUCCGCUAAUACCGGGCGCUAAUGACGGUACCUGCAGAAUAAGCACCGGCUAACUACGUG